GGGAUCCCCUACUUGCAAAGCCCUGCCGACCAAUGUGAACAUAUGCAAAUUGUGCAAAUACAUGCAAAUAGACCCCUUCUCUCCAGGGAAGUUCUGGGAAGGCAUAGCUUCUCUUCUUCCCACCAUGGGGGUCCAGGCUGCGGCCAGAGGCCUGGGCUGAGGCCCGUUCAUUGAUUGCAUACUGUGUGCAGGGCCCUCUGCCAGGUGCUGGGGACAGAGCAUGAUCCAGGUGGAUCCACCCCAGGGUGGUGAUGGCCCUAACCUCACAGCAGAUAAAUACUAAUUUCAGUCCAGCGCUGUGGCUCACACCUGAAAUCCCAGCACUUUGGGAGGCUGAGGUGGGAGGAUCGCCAGAGCCCGGGAGGUGGAGGCUGCAGUGAGCAGUGAUCACACCACUGAAUUCCAGCCUGGAUACGGGGUGAGCGGAGACAGACAAUCACGGGGUAUCUUCUGGGCCUUCGUAAGGGGUGUGGAUUUUAUUCUGGGGGUGCUGGGGAACUCUAGGAGAGUUUGGAGCAGGUGAGGAGUCCGAUGAGAUUUCCAGAUUCUGAAAAAUGGGUCACAUCCAAGUGGCAGGAGUGGGGUGGCUGCCGGGUGGGGAGAGGAGGGUGCAUUUGGAACACAGUUUGGAAUGCCUAAGGAGGACUGGAGUGAGGGCCCGUGCAGAGUGGGUGGGACCAUUUCCUGACCUAGGGGAGGGAAUUGUGAGCCUGGAGAGGAAAAGCAGCAGAGUGGGGAGAAUCAGGUCACACCUUCCUUGACUGUGAUUCCAAUCAUAGGAGCGGGCAGCAGGACCCCAGGAUGUGAGUUGGGAAGGGCCCAAGGCCGCAGCAGACAAUGUGAGCAGAAUGUGCAGGAAUGGGAGAAUGGCAGCAGUGUCGGGGAGCUGUACCCCGCCCCUUGGUUCCCUGGGAGAUGUAGCAGGGGUUGGGGUGAGAAGUUGUGAGCUGCUGUGACUGCAGCAUGACCUGCUGGGUGGCCCUGGAUAUAAAUUAUCCUUCUGCGAGCUAGGAGCCACAGUGGGACUUGAACCCACGCCAUGGGGAGCCAGAAUCUGUCCUUGAACUUCAAUUCUGCACUCAACAAGUGCAAAAAGGCCAGUUUCAGUGGCUCAUGCCUGUAAUCUCAGCACUUUGGGAGGCCAAGCGAGGAAGAAGGCUGGAGGCUAGGAGUUGGAGACCAGCCUGGGCAAUAUAGUGAGACCCCAACGGUACUCUCUCUCUCUCUCUAUAUAUAUAUAUUGUAUUUUUAGUAGAGAAGGGGUUUCACCAUGUUGGCCAGGCUGGUCUCGAACUCCUGACUUCACGUGAUCCACCCGCCUCUGCCUCCCAAAGUGCUAGGAUUACAGGUGUGAGCCACUGUGCCCAACCAAAAAUUUUUAAAAAUUAGCUGAGUUUGGUGGUGUGCCCCUGUGGUCCCAGCUACUUAGGAAGCUUAAGCAGAAGGAUUGCUUGAGCUGGGGAGGUUGAGGCUGCAGUGAACGGUGAUUGUGCCACUGCACUUUAGCCUGGGCGACAGAGGGAGACCCUAUCUUUAAAAAAAUAAAUAAAUGUAAACUAUUUUUCCUUGUUGCUGCUGCUGUCUGUAAGAUUCCAUAAUUCAACUGGGCAUGGUGACUCACGCUUGUAAUCCCAACACUUUGGGAGGCCCAGGCAGGUGGAUCACCUGAGGUCAGGCGUUCAAGCCGAUCCUGGCCAACAUGAUGAAACCCCGUGUCUACUAAAAACACAAAAAACUAGCCAGGCAUGGUGGCGGGCACGUGUGAUCCCAGCUACUUGGAAGGCUGAAGUAGGAGAAUUGCUUGAACCCGAGAGGCAGAGGUUGCGGUGAGCCGAGAUCGUGCCACUGCACUCCAACCUGGGCAGCAAGAGUGAAACUCCAUCUCAAAAAAAAAAAAAAAAAAAA
Molecule: long non-coding RNA, 1905 nt
Organism: Macaca fascicularis (crab-eating macaque)
Lineage: Eukaryota; Metazoa; Chordata; Mammalia; Primates; Cercopithecidae
Source: Ensembl